GGUCAAUGAUGAUUGGUAAAAGGUCUGAUUGCACUAAAUGUCACAGCUCCUUCCUUGCCCUCUACUCCCAGCAGCCCGUUCUGUUUUUCCCAGCACAUUGAAGUCGUGCGUGCGUGGGAGAGUGGGGCAGCUGAUAGUUUAGGAUUCUGUCAGUGUGUGUUCCGAGAGUGAGGGGUUCACAGCUGACUGCUAUCCAACAGAACCCAUUUUACAGGAGUCUUGAUGAGUGGCAGGGUGGAUGUGACAGUGCAUGAUCUCAAGUUUUCAAUCUGAGACC
Non-coding RNA from Peromyscus leucopus (white-footed mouse), 277 nucleotides. RefSeq annotates it as small Cajal body-specific RNA 6. NCBI's taxonomy places the organism in Eukaryota, Metazoa, Chordata, Mammalia, Rodentia, Cricetidae. The record is from RefSeq and is a predicted model, not a curated record. The transcript has a single exon.